UUUUAGUACGAAAGGACCAAAGUUAUGAAAUAGUUUUUUUCUGUUGAAUACCAUUAACUACUUUGGCAGAAAAGUGCAAUGAAUUUAGAAUUCAUAAAUGUAAGUAAAUCUUACAGGUAGUAC
This 123-nucleotide transfer RNA is filed under the name Neurothemis intermedia. Its description in RNAcentral is "partial contains 16S ribosomal RNA and tRNA-Leu". The record is from RNAcentral. Lineage: Eukaryota; Metazoa; Arthropoda; Insecta; Odonata; Libellulidae.